UAAAAUGCUAAAAAGACCAAGUUGACUGUUAAAAAUGUGUUUGUAUUGUUAUUCUCAGAAAAGAUUGUUGAGCUUUAUUUUGAAAGCUGGAAAGAUAGUGUAAACAGGAAGCGGGUAACAGGAAGUAGGAAGUAUAGAGGAGACCUGAAAACAGAGAAAGAACAUGGUGCAGUUGUAUAGUUUCUCAUGUUGAAUCCAGUGUAAUCCUGCAUAUGAAUCCCUCAGAAAGCAAUGGCUUUUCACUCCAAUUCAAUGUGUCAUCUUGACUUGACCUGCUGUGAAAGAAGUCAUUAAAGGAGCAAGCACGCUCACUUCCUGGCUCUUGAAAA
This is a long non-coding RNA of Sebastes umbrosus (honeycomb rockfish), 329 nucleotides long. RefSeq lists it as uncharacterized. Lineage: Eukaryota; Metazoa; Chordata; Actinopteri; Perciformes; Sebastidae. The transcript has 2 exons. The record is from RefSeq and is a predicted model, not a curated record.